GUUAUCAGGAAGAUCACCGAUGGAUUGUAGUUUCCUCAGGAAGUCUGUGGUGUCUCAAAGAUAGCUGGGAGUGCUGGUAGCGUAGGGCCUGAGGAGGGAGUCUACAUAGCCAGCCAAUCCUGCUGUCACGGUGCUAAUGCCUGAGAUGAAGGGGCGUCCAGGAUUUCCAGGUUUAUGGAUUUUGGGUAGCAGAUAGAAUACCCCUGGUCAGGGUUCAAAAACCAGGGGUAUUUCUGUCUGGAUUUGU
Chelonia mydas (Green sea turtle) is the source of this 247-nucleotide long non-coding RNA. RefSeq lists it as uncharacterized. Lineage: Eukaryota; Metazoa; Chordata; Testudines; Cheloniidae. The record is from RefSeq and is a predicted model, not a curated record. The transcript has 3 exons.